UACAGAGGGUGCAAGCGUUAAUCGGAAUUACUGGGCGUAAAGCGUGCGCAGGCGGUGAUGUAAGACAGAUGUGAAAUCCCCGGGCUCAACCUGGGAACUGCAUUUGUGACUGCAUCGCUGGAGUGCGGCAGAGGGGGAUGGAAUUCCGCGUGUAGCAGUGAAAUGCGUAGAUAUCUGGAGGAAUACCGGUGGCGAAGGCGGCAUCCUGGACCGGCAUUGACGCUGAUGAGCGAAAGCUAGGGGAGCAAACGGG
Molecule: ribosomal RNA, 253 nt
Filed under: uncultured bacterium
Lineage: Bacteria
Description: partial 16S ribosomal RNA
Rfam family: Bacterial small subunit ribosomal RNA
Source: RNAcentral